GAUGAACGCUGGCGGCGUGCCUAAUACAUGCAAGUCGAGCGAACGGACGAGAAGCUUGCUUCUCUGAUGUUAGCGGCGGACGGGUGAGUAACACGUGGAUAACCUACCUAUAAGACUGGGAUAACUUCGGGAAACCGGAGCUAAUACCGGAUAAUAUUUUGAACCGCAUGGUUCAAAAGUGAAAGACGGUCUUGCUGCCACUUAUAGAUGGAUCCGCGCUGCAUUAGCUAGUUGGUAAGGUAACGGCUUACCAAGGCAACGAUGCAUAGCCGACCUGAGAGGGUGAUCGGCCACACUGGAACUGAGACACGGUCCAGACUCCUACGGGAGGCAGCAGUAGGGAAUCUUACGCAAUGGGCGAAAGCCUGACGGAGCAACGCCGCGUGAGUGAUGAAGGUCUUCGGAUCGUAAAACUCUGUUAUUAGGGAAGAACAUAUGUGUAAGUAACUGUGCACAUCUUGACGGUACCUAAUCAGAAAGCCACGGCUAACUACGUG
This 497-nucleotide ribosomal RNA is filed under the name uncultured bacterium. RNAcentral describes it as "partial 16S ribosomal RNA". It matches the Rfam family "Bacterial small subunit ribosomal RNA", at positions 28 to 507 of the family's 1533-position model. The record is from RNAcentral.